AGGAGUAGGGAUUGAAAGGCCAAAUAUGUCUGAACAUCUAGGCAACCUGGGUCUCCAGCUCAUGAGAAAGAUAUCAAGACCUGGAUCCCAGUGAUGGAUACAUGAGACAAAGAUUAGGGAAUGCUGAAGAUGUGUUCCCAUGAGUUCCUGCCUCCUUGUACCCCACUGAGUGGAAUGUUAAAAAUACGGAGAAAGCAAUUUCUACAGAUGCAGUCCCACCUCUGGCCAUGGCCAAAAUUAGCUGGAUAAUUCUUUGAAUCUGGCUAAUGUGGAAUCUUGCAAGGACAAAGAGGAUUUGCUCACGAACUGGGAAGAAUUAUCAUACCAAAUCAAUGAGGAUAUUUGCUGCCAAAGGCUUAGGCAUGGAGGCCAACUGGAUUCUCAUCCAUGACCCUGAUAGGACAUCCUGAACCCCAUUUAUGUUGUUUUAAGAGUGAUUCCAUAACCUCAAGAGAUUGGAAGGAAAUGGGGCUAUAAUGCCACUGGGCCCUGCUUUCAGCCAGCAGAGGUAGUUGGUGUUGAUUCCUUCCCACUGAAGGCUCUUCCUCCACAUUUAGGAAGGACAUAGCAAACUGGAGCAUGACCAGAAGUACACAAUGGAUGCUAUUGACUGAAUAUUUGUGUUCUCUUCCACAAAUUCAUGUAUUGAUAUCUAAAUCUCUACCGUGAUGGUGUUUGGAAAUGGGACAUUUGGGAGGUAAUCAGGUCACGAGAGUAAAUCCCUCAUGAAUGGGGUUAGUACCCUUAUAAAAAGAGGCAUAUGAGAGAUAAUCUCACUCUCUGCCAUGUGAGGCUACAACAAGAAGACAGCCUUGUGCAAACCAGGAACCAGGCCUUCACCAGACAUUGGAUCUGCAAGUACCUUGAUCGGAAGUUCCAGCCUCCAGAACUGCGAGAAAUAAAUGUUUGGUGUUUAAGCCACCCAUUCUACGGUAAUUUGUUAUGGUAGCCCAACAUGACUAGGAAAAUGGGAAUAGUGAAGAAUGAAAACAAUCUAAGAGAAAUUGUUGGAGAAUCUGGUGAUUUUCGGACUGCAGAAGAGAAUACUUAAGGGUGGUAUAAGCAGUGUCUUCAAAUAUGUAAAGAGCUGUCACAUGGAAGAGGGAUAGCAUUGGUAUAUAUCAUCCCAGAAGGCAGAAUUUUC
This 1144-nucleotide long non-coding RNA is filed under the name Homo sapiens (human). RNAcentral describes it as "HSALNT0286217". The record is from RNAcentral. Lineage: Eukaryota; Metazoa; Chordata; Mammalia; Primates; Hominidae.